This 1095-nucleotide long non-coding RNA is filed under the name Carica papaya (papaya). RNAcentral describes it as "long non-coding RNA (CPAP_LNC006305)". The record is from RNAcentral. Lineage: Eukaryota; Viridiplantae; Streptophyta; Magnoliopsida; Brassicales; Caricaceae.
AAAGUUGAAAAGUCACUGUUAACCUGUUCGGCGGGACCUUUACAACCAAACUGUCUCCGGUGCGGCGGUUUCCGGCGAAAAAGACGAAGCGCGAACAGAUCAAAUUCGAUCUGUGCGUUUCCUGCACGCGGCGGCGGAAGAAGCUCGGUUGCUGUCGCGGUGCGGGACGAUCUGUCGGCGCGACCAGAGCAGAUCGAGACGAGGGACCGCGCGGCUUGGAGAAGACGACUGGUCCGCGGUCACUGGAAGAACAACAGAUCGGGUCCGCGUGAGGAGGGCCGGAGAAGGGAAACCGAAGGCGGAUCCGAGACGUCCGGCCUUGUCUGUGCGCGAAACCAGAGCCGGUGAGGGAGAACGCGCGCCGGAGAAGACAAACCAGCGCGGCGGCACCGGUUCGCGCGAGCCCUGAUAUGCGGCGUUCCCGACGGUUUUUCGGCGCGUUUUCACCAGAUCGGUCCCGGAUCCGUCGAUUCCAACGUUCUUGUGCUUUAUUUUGGUGUUUCCCAGGCGGCGGCCGAGCGUGACAUCUCCGAAACAGCUGUUGGAGAUCCUUUAGAACGGCGUCGUUUUUGAGGUUGGGAUCUUUAAUUGGCGCUAGUUUCCCUCAAGACGACACCGUUUUGGUGCUUCCCCCACCUGGAGAGUUGGGCUUUUUACCGAACUGGACCUCCUUUGGGCUCUCUUUUUUUUGUUUCUUUCUGGGCUUUUGGGUGUUGGGUCUUGAGAUUGGGCUUCAUUGAAAACAAAUCAAACUUCAAUGUCGUCUCUAAGUGGGUAUUAAAGAGGCUGUCAUAAUCCAGUCUUAAAAACUUAAUGGCUGUUGACAAAUGCCAUAGAGAGCACUGGGACUUACGCCCCUCACACACCCACUCCACUCCAUUUGAAAUCUGUUUGGUGGCUUUUCAUGGUCUGAGUUGUUGGGGUAGAGACAUUUUUGGCUUAUACAUUAUUUGGCUUAUACAUAUAUUGAGAUCACAAAAACAUAAAAAUCUAUCGAAAGAAAAUUUUUGUUAGAUUAAACGAAAAAAAAAUGAGGAAUUUGACACUUUGAGUUGUUCCAAAGAAUUUCUAGGAGCGCGAUUAAUUUAAACUGCA